Molecule: unclassified non-coding RNA, 146 nt
Filed under: soil metagenome
Description: partial internal transcribed spacer 1
Source: RNAcentral
UAAUAAAAGUGUUUUAUGGCACUUUUCAAACAAAUCCAUAUCCACCUUGUGUGCAAUGUUUUUUUUUUUUUUAAAUAAACACUUUAUUUUUAAUUGCCAAUUUAUCUGAAGAUCAGUAUUAUUAUGAAUUAACUUAAUUCAAAAUA